This 125-nucleotide small RNA is filed under the name Marmota monax (woodchuck). The record is from RNAcentral. Lineage: Eukaryota; Metazoa; Chordata; Mammalia; Rodentia; Sciuridae.
GCUAGGCGUAGUGGCGCACACCUGUAAUCCCAGCAACUCGGGAGGCUGAGGCAGGAAUAUCAUGAGUUAAAAGCCAGACUCAGCAAUGGUGAGGCACGAAGCAAUUCAGUGAGACCCUGUCUCUA